AGUGAACGCUGGCGGUAGGCCUAACACAUGCAAGUCGAACGGCAGCACAGGAGAGCUUGCUCUCUGGGUGGCGAGUGGCGGACGGGUGAGGAAUAUAUCGGAAUCUACUUUUUCGUGGGGGAUAACGUAGGGAAACUUACGCUCAUACCGCAUACGACCUACGGGUGAAAGCAGGGGACCUUCGGACCUUGCGCGAUUGAAUGAGCCGAUGUCGGAUUAGCUAGUUGGCGGGGUAAAGGCCCACCAAGGCGACGAUCCGUAGCUGGUCGGAGAGGAUGAUAAGCGACACUGGAACUGAGACACGGUCCAGACGCCUGCGGGAGGCAGCAGUGGGGAAUAUUGGACAAUGGGCGCAAGCCUGAUCCAGCCAUACCGCGUGGGUGAAGAAGGCCUUCGGGUUGUAAAGCCCUUUUGUUGGGAAAGAAAUCCAGCUGGUUAAUACCCGGUUGGGAUGACGGUACCCAAAGAAUAAGCACCGGCUAACUUCGUGCCAGCAGCCGCCGUAA
Molecule: ribosomal RNA, 506 nt
Filed under: uncultured bacterium
Lineage: Bacteria
Description: partial 16S ribosomal RNA
Rfam family: Bacterial small subunit ribosomal RNA
Source: RNAcentral